UGGGGAAUAUUGGACAAUGGGCGCAAGCCUGAUCCAGCCAUGCCGCGUGGAUGAUGAAGGCCCUAGGGUUGUAAAGUCCUUUCGACGGGGAAGAUAAUGACGGUACCCGUAGAAGAAGCCCCGGCUAACUUCGUGCCAGCAGCCGCGGUAAUACGAAGGGGGCUAGCGUUGCUCGGAAUCACUGGGCGUAAAGCGCACGUAGGCGGACUCUUAAGUCGGUGGUGAAAUCCUGGAGCUCAACUCCAGAACUGCCUUCGAUACUGAGAGUCUCGAGUCCGAGAGAGGUGAGUGGAACUGCGAGUGUAGAGGUGAAAUUCGUAGAUAUUCGCAAGAACACCAGUGGCGAAGGCGGCUCACUGGCUCGGUACUGACGCUGAGGUGCGAAAGCGUGGGGAGCAAACAGGAUUAGAUACCCUUGUAGUCCCUGAGCGGGCUGGCAAGGCGCAU
RNAcentral lists this ribosomal RNA (447 nucleotides) under uncultured bacterium. RNAcentral describes it as "bacterial SSU rRNA". It matches the Rfam family "Bacterial small subunit ribosomal RNA", at positions 355 to 825 of the family's 1533-position model. The record is from RNAcentral.